UACGUAGGGGGCAAGCGUUGUUCGGAAUUACUGGGCGUAAAGGGCGCGUAGGCGGCUUUUCAAGUCAGGGGUGAAAUCCGGCAGCUUAACUGUCGAAGUGCCUUUGAUACUGGGAAGCUCGAGGGAGGUAGGGGUGUGUGGAACUUCCGGUGGAGCGGUGAAAUGCGUUGAUAUCGGAAGGAACGCCGGUGGCGAAAGCGACGCACUGGACCUCUUCUGACGCUGAGGCGCGAAAGCCAGGGGAGCAAACGGG
RNAcentral lists this ribosomal RNA (253 nucleotides) under uncultured bacterium. RNAcentral's name for it is "partial 16S ribosomal RNA". It matches the Rfam family "Bacterial small subunit ribosomal RNA", at positions 524 to 776 of the family's 1533-position model. The record is from RNAcentral.